RNAcentral lists this ribosomal RNA (530 nucleotides) under uncultured bacterium. RNAcentral's name for it is "bacterial SSU rRNA". It matches the Rfam family "Bacterial small subunit ribosomal RNA", at positions 16 to 518 of the family's 1533-position model. The record is from RNAcentral.
AUUAUGGCUCAGGACGAACGCUGGCGGCGUGCCUAAUACAUGCAAGUCGAACGGCUUUUCUAUGGAAGCUUGCUUCCACUGAAAAGAUAGUGGCGAACGGGUGAGUAACACGUGGGUAACCUGCCCAUAAGAGGGGGAUAACAUCCGGAAACGGGUGCUAAUACCGCAUAGUUUUCUUGAUCGCAUGAUCGGGAAAGGAAAGACGGCCUUUGUGCUGUCGCUUAUGGAUGGACCCGCGGCGUAUUAGUUAGUUGGUGAGGUAACGGCUCACCAAGACGAUGAUACGUAGCCGACCUGAGAGGGUGAUCGGCCACAUUGGGACUGAGACACGGCCCAAACUCCUACGGGAGGCAGCAGUAGGGAAUCUUCCGCAAUGGACGAAAGUCUGACGGAGCGACGCCGCGUGAGUGAAGAAAAGGUUUUCGGAUCGUAAAACUCUGUUGUCAGAGAAGAACAAGUUGGAGAGUAACUGCUCCAGCCUUGACGGUAUCUGACCAGAAAGCCACGGCUAACUACGUGCCAGCCGCAGC